GAUGAACGCUGGCGGCGUGCCUAAUACAUGCAAGUCGAGCGAACAGACGAUGAGCGUGCUCCUUUGACGUUGGCGGCGGACGGGUGAGUAACACGUGGAUAACCUACCUCUAUUACGGGGAUAACUUCGGGAGACCAGUUCUACUACUGGAGCAUAUAUUGAACCGCAGGGUGCAAUAGUUAAACGCGCUUUUCGUGUCUGAUUUAGAUGAUGCCGGGCCGCAUUAGCUAGUUGGUAAGGUAACGGCCUACCAAGGCAACGAUGCGUAGCUGACCUGAGAGGGUGAUCGGCCACACUGGAACUGAGACACGGUCCAGACUCCUACGGGAGGCAGCAGUAGGGAAUCUUGCACAAUGGGCGAAAGCCUGACCCAGCCACGCCGCGUGAGUGAUGAAGGUCUUCGGAUCGUAAAACUCUGUUAUUGGGAAAGAACAACUGUGUAAGUAACUCUGCACGUCUUGACGGUACCUAAUCAGAAAGCACCGGCUAACUUCGUG
RNAcentral lists this ribosomal RNA (497 nucleotides) under uncultured bacterium. RNAcentral's name for it is "partial 16S ribosomal RNA". It matches the Rfam family "Bacterial small subunit ribosomal RNA", at positions 28 to 507 of the family's 1533-position model. The record is from RNAcentral.